Molecule: long non-coding RNA, 480 nt
Filed under: Cucumis sativus (cucumber)
Lineage: Eukaryota; Viridiplantae; Streptophyta; Magnoliopsida; Cucurbitales; Cucurbitaceae
Description: long non-coding RNA (CSAT_LNC001310)
Source: RNAcentral
CGCCGCUAAUAUCUUCUACUCUUCUCUCCCUCUCCACUAUGAAAUGGCUCUCCGGAUGGUCAACGCCGUGUCCGAUUGGUCAACCGUCAAGCACGCCCUCGACCUUGGCUGCGGCCGGGGCAUUCUACUCAACGCCGUUGCCACUCAGCUGAAGAAGGUAAAAUUCACUUGAUAAUAUAGAUAUUUUGAAUAAUGUUUUGUUUGUUUUUCUUAUCCUUUCAUUCAAUUACUACGUGAUGAUGGAAAGGGUAAAAUAUGUUGAAUGUUUUAAGGGAGAUAUUAUUGGUCUUCUAAUAUUGUGUUAAAAAAAUAAAUUAACGUUGAAUUAAAAGAAAAUUUAAGUAGAUAGUGUGUUACCUUUUGCGGAAGAUACGGCCACAUCUUUUGACUCCACCUACUUUGUUAGACACUAAAAUAAAGUAACAAGUGGAGAGAUGAGGGUAAAUUUAAUAGUAUUGGAUUAAUUUUGUAAACAGGAAG